UCAAAAUACACUGUACUGUCAUCUAUAUCUAAAAAGAAAAAAUUAAAAAAUAAAAAAGAAUUGGGGGAAAUUGUGAGUGAGCAGGUGGGGAAUCUCAGUAAAAAGGAACCAAAUGGAAAUUCUAGAAUUAAAAUUCCAGCAGGUUGGAGUUGGAAGAGCAAACUUGAAGGUAGCCACAUCUGGACAUCUUUCUUUCCAUGUCCUCAUUACUAUUUUGCUCCUGGAAAAUAUACUGCUCUUUCCACAGCAUGGAAAAUGUGGAGAACCCUGUUUCCUGCAACUUGUCUGGUUCUGCCCAGGAAGUAAGGCAUAAGUUUUCUAUGCUUCCAAUCUCCCAAACCUCUUUGAGAUUUUGGGGUGUGGGGUCACAUUUUCUAAGAAAGCUUUGUGUUAAAAUAUAAGCUGUCCUUGUUCUCUUGACCUCCACCCUUCUUCCUUCACAGCCUGUGGAAGUGGCUGGGGACAAAUGGUGAUGCCCUGCUAUUCUUCAUCCUAUCUGACCUGGGUCUCCUAAGCCCAGAAAGUGAAAAAUCUAGAAUUGAGGCCUGUGUUCUUUAUAUUCUGUUAUAUUGUCCUUUCUCUGAGAUUGGAAGCAUAGAACUCCUAGCUGCUGCUAAAGCUGAGGAAAGGUCUGGAAUAUCAGGAAGUACUGGGCAAAAAUACAGAGGUUAAUAUGUCACAUUAUUAUCUGGUUACAUUUGUAUUCACUUAGGUGUGUGUGUGUGUGUGUGUGUGUGUGUGUAUGUGUUCAAGGCUUGGUGGAACUUAUUACAACCUCACAGGUUGUUUGAGAACAAUUUGAUAAAGUCUUUGCAAAAAACCCCGAGUCAAUAAAAAGUGCUUCAAAAUGGAUGGAAAAGUAUGACAAGUCUCAUCUUCAGGGAGGAAAUAUCAGAAAGGCAAAUGUAUGGCAUUGCUUAUUAGCAAUAAGAGUUAGAUCAAACAAAUCAUUCCACUCAGUUAGGAAGGCAAACUACCUGUAAUUCUAAUUUCCUUUUUAAGGUGGGUAGAGGACAAAGAAUACAAUGUAAUCAGGAAUGUUCUGUUUUCUUGGAUAGAUUUGCUUUCAAA
This 1071-nucleotide long non-coding RNA is filed under the name Marmota monax (woodchuck). Lineage: Eukaryota; Metazoa; Chordata; Mammalia; Rodentia; Sciuridae. The record is from RNAcentral.